Small nuclear RNA from Solanum dulcamara, 199 nucleotides. RefSeq annotates it as U2 spliceosomal RNA. Lineage: Eukaryota; Viridiplantae; Streptophyta; Magnoliopsida; Solanales; Solanaceae. The transcript has a single exon. The record is from RefSeq and is a predicted model, not a curated record.
ACAACUUUGUCGGCCUUUUGGCUCAGACGAAGUGUAGUAUUUGUUCUUUUUAGUUUAAUAUUUGAUACGUGGAUUAUUGGUUCGCAUGAUAUAAACUUUAAUUUUUUGAGGUGGAGAGUUCAUCGAGGUGCCUUGCCAUCUGGGCUCUCAAGCGUAGCCCAUGCGUUGAACUUUUGCAAGGGCCUGGAGUGUACCCCCA